RNAcentral lists this ribosomal RNA (238 nucleotides) under uncultured bacterium. RNAcentral's name for it is "partial 16S ribosomal RNA". It matches the Rfam family "Bacterial small subunit ribosomal RNA", at positions 1263 to 1500 of the family's 1533-position model. The record is from RNAcentral.
UUUAGCAAAUCUCUUAAAGCCGUUCUCAGUUCGGAUUGUAGGCUGCAACUCGCCUACAUGAAGUCGGAAUCGCUAGUAGUCGCGGAUCAGCAUGCCGCGGUGAAUACGUUCCCGGGCCUUGUACACACCGCCCGUCACACCAUGAGAGUUUGUAACACCCAAAGCCGGUGGGGUAACCUUUUGGAGCCAGCCGUCUAAGGUGGGACAGAUGAUUGGGGUGAAGUCGUAACAAGGUACC